RNAcentral lists this transfer RNA (75 nucleotides) under Verrucomicrobiota bacterium. RNAcentral describes it as "Verrucomicrobia bacterium (marine metagenome) tRNA-Gly". It matches the Rfam family "tRNA". From Rfam's summary of the family: Transfer RNA (tRNA) molecules are approximately 80 nucleotides in length. Their secondary structure includes four short double-helical elements and three loops (D, anti-codon, and T loops). The record is from RNAcentral. Lineage: Bacteria; Pseudomonadati; Verrucomicrobiota.
GCGGGUGUAGCUCAGUGGUAGAGCGUCACGUUGCCAACGUGACUGUCGACGGUUCGAAUCCGUUCACCCGCUCCA